This 75-nucleotide transfer RNA is filed under the name Planctomycetota bacterium. RNAcentral describes it as "tRNA-Glu". It matches the Rfam family "tRNA". From Rfam's summary of the family: Transfer RNA (tRNA) molecules are approximately 80 nucleotides in length. The record is from RNAcentral. Lineage: Bacteria; Pseudomonadati; Planctomycetota.
GGGCGUAUCGUCUAACGGCAAGGACUUCUGGUUCUCAACCAGACGGUCGGGGUUCGAAUCCCCGUACGCUCGCCA